GACAGAGGAUGCAAGCGUUAUCCGGAAUGAUUGGGCGUAAAGCGUCUGUAGGUGGCUUUUUAAGUCCGCCGUCAAAUCCCAGGGCUCAACCCUGGACAGGCGGUGGAAACUACCAAGCUGGAGUACGGUAGGGCAGAGGGAAUUUCCGGUGGAGGCGGUGGAAAUGCGUAGAGGAUCGGGAAAGAACACCAACGGCGAAAGCAACUCUGCCUGGCCGACACUGACAUGGAGA
RNAcentral lists this ribosomal RNA (232 nucleotides) under uncultured bacterium. Its description in RNAcentral is "partial 16S ribosomal RNA". It matches the Rfam family "Bacterial small subunit ribosomal RNA", at positions 524 to 751 of the family's 1533-position model. The record is from RNAcentral.